This 57-nucleotide transfer RNA is filed under the name Ovis aries (sheep). It matches the Rfam family "tRNA", at positions 8 to 63 of the family's 71-position model. From Rfam's summary of the family: Transfer RNA (tRNA) molecules are approximately 80 nucleotides in length. Their secondary structure includes four short double-helical elements and three loops (D, anti-codon, and T loops). Lineage: Eukaryota; Metazoa; Chordata; Mammalia; Artiodactyla; Bovidae. The record is from Rfam by way of RNAcentral.
UGGCUUGGACUGUAAAGUAUCUGUCUGCAAAGCAGGAGACCCAGGUUCGAUCCCUGG